GUCCCCAAAGGUCCAGAACUCAGCCUCAAGGAAUUAGCCAAAUUUUCAGCAUUUUCGCCCGUUUUCAUCCGUUUUCGCUCGUUUCACCUCCGAUUUAUUUCAAAUCGAACCGAGACUCUCCAAACAUAUUUUUGAGCAUGUUUUCAUCAUAUCUUCAUCCACGCUAAUGUCGGAUUUAGCUCAUGGUCCAAUAUAGCAUUUCGGAUUUCGUUUUCGCGCCUACGCGCACCGAAACGCCCAUUUCUCCCAAACUUCACCGAACUUCACCGAAACCAUUCAAAUGGCUCUCCAACCAAAUGUACACCGUAACUUCAU
This 315-nucleotide long non-coding RNA is filed under the name Ananas comosus (pineapple). RNAcentral describes it as "long non-coding RNA (ACOM_LNC014977)". The record is from RNAcentral. Lineage: Eukaryota; Viridiplantae; Streptophyta; Magnoliopsida; Poales; Bromeliaceae.